This 579-nucleotide long non-coding RNA is filed under the name Ictidomys tridecemlineatus (thirteen-lined ground squirrel). RNAcentral's name for it is "lncRNA (ENSSTOG00000032407.1)". Lineage: Eukaryota; Metazoa; Chordata; Mammalia; Rodentia; Sciuridae. The record is from RNAcentral.
UUUAAAUCUUGAACAGGUCUUGCUAAGCUGCUGAGGCUGGCCUUGAACUUGUGACUCUCUGACCUCACCCUCCCCAGUACUUGGGAUCAUAGAUGUGCACCACUGUGCCUGGCUUGAAAUAAAUUAAAAAAAAAAAAAAAGAUCAAAUACAUCAUGAGUCCUGAUUCCCAAACUGGGAAGCAACCCAGAUGUCCUUCAACAGGACAUGAAUCAUCCCUGGGUCCAGUGUAUCCACACGGUAUAUGCUACCCACUGGUUAGUCACUUAAUCACCAUUGUGAUGAUCAGAUUCCCUGUCAUGGCAUUGCAGUGCUUGUGCUUGAAUACUCUGUGCCACAAUGCCUACUUCAUUCACCACCCCCCCCUUCAUCUUGUCACUAGCCAUUGUCUCGUCACACAUCAUCACAAGAAGGGUGAGCACAGUAAAGAUAUUUUGAGAGACCACAUUCAUAUCACUUUUAUUACAGUCUGUUGUUCUGAUUGUUCUACUUUAUUAUUAGUUAUUACUGUUAAUUUCUUAUUGUGCCUAAUUUAUAAGUUAUUCAUUUACAAAUUAAACUCUAUCAUAGGCAUUCAUGGG